ACCCGGAAAUGGUUCCAAUCGUUUUUUUCACCAUUGAUUUUUGCGUCAGGGAUUUUAGACCUUCAUAUAAGGCCUGUGUUUUGUGUAGGCUUACCCUGGCGUGACGUUUUUAUAACCGCGCAAAUCUCUCUCGGACAAGUGACGACACUCGGGUCUGUAGCUGCCAUUUUCCGUUGGAUAAGAGAAAUGGUACCAGAAAAGUCCAACAGGAGUGCAUCCCUCAGACUGUAUGAUGCAUGGACAUCCUGUGUCAGUGUGAUCCACUUGUGGAGACUACAGCUGAUCGAGCCUGUGAACGGACAGAUACGAGGCGUGACAUGCUGAAACAUCAGGCUCACCCCACGAGAAGCAGUAAAUGAUCAACGCCACCCUCAACAAGGAGAUCUGCUGGAAGUGAUUUAAAUCAAAUCAAAUGUUUAUUUGUCACAUACACAUUUACUCUCACUCUGGGGUUAAGACGUCAUUUAAACAUUACAGAUAUAAAUUCCCACUGUGCCCAUGAUACAAUGCGAUGUGAAUUGUGUUGUACUACUGAAUGAAACGGAGGAGGUGCACUCAGACCAUUCUGUGUCAGUGUGAUCAGGUCGCAGUUGUAAAUGAGAACUUGUUCUCAACUGGCCCCACUUCACAGACAUCAUCCCAUCUAACGACUGAUCCGAGGACCCUUUUUAGGAGCAACGGAGGACAAGUGCAGUUUUUCCAUAAACCAUUUAAUUGAUAAAUUGGGAUUUUAUUGCUUAACAUAUCAGUCAUAUAGUGGGAAGGAUCCUAUAAAUUUAGACUGUGAAUGCAUGUACCACUGAAUAAAUAAAUACUGUGCCUCUGAA
Molecule: long non-coding RNA, 827 nt
Organism: Oncorhynchus masou masou (cherry salmon)
Lineage: Eukaryota; Metazoa; Chordata; Actinopteri; Salmoniformes; Salmonidae
Exons: 4
Source: RefSeq, a predicted model, not a curated record